CAAGAUUGUGCGUGGCAGUGAUGGCAUCACCUCAACGAUCUAUCAACGUGCCACGUCCGACAGGAAGCGCCAGUCGAGCUAAGCGUUUUGUCAGUCACUCCGGCAGGUACCCUAUCGAGAUAGGACGGCAGAGGGGAGGGGGACAUGCAUUCAGCAGUAGUGGGUGCGGAACGCAUCGAUCAUGGCACGAUGAGGACGAUUAAUCUUGCCCUCCUGCUUGGAACCCUGCGAUCAGGACCGAUCUCGGGUAGCCGGCCUGAGAGGGUGUACGGCCACAUUGGGACUGAGAUACGGCCCAGACUCCUACGGGAGGCAGCAGUGGGGAAUAUUGCACAAUGGGGGGAACCCUGAUGCAGCCAUGCCGCGUGUAUGAAGAAGGCCUUCGGGUUGUAAAGUACUUUCGGUGAUGAGGAAGGUGGUGUAUCUAAUAGGUGCAUCAAUUGACGUUAAUUACAGAAGAAGCACCGGCUAACUCCGUGCCAGCAGCCGCGGUAAUACGGAGGGUGCGAGCGUUAAUCGGAAUGACUGGGCGUAAAGGGCAUGUAGGCGGAUAAUUAAGUUAGGUGUGAAAGCCCUGGGCUCAACCUAGGAAUUGCACUUAAAACUGGUUAACUAGAGUAUUGUAGAGGAAGGUAGAAUUCCACGUGUAGCGGUGAAAUGCGUAGAGAUGUGGAGGAAUACCGGUGGCGAAGGCGGCCUUCUGGACAGAUACUGACGCUGAGAUGCGAAAGCGUGGGGAGCAAACAGGAUUAGAUACCCUGGUAGUCCANGCNGUAAACGNUGNGCGNUNUGGNGUUUGUUGCCUAGAGUGAUGGGCUCCGAAGCUAACGCGAUAAAUCGACCGCCUGGGGAGUACGGCCGCAAGGUUAAAACUCAAAUGAAUUGACGGGGGCCCGCACAAGCGGUGGAGCAUGUGGUUUAAUUCGAUGCAACGCGAAGAACCUUACCUGGUCUUGACAUCCACAGAAUCUUGCAGAGAUGCGAGAGUGCCUUCGGGAACUGUGAGACAGGUGCUGCA
Molecule: ribosomal RNA, 1018 nt
Filed under: insect metagenome
Description: bacterial SSU rRNA
Rfam family: Bacterial small subunit ribosomal RNA
Source: RNAcentral